CAACUCUGAGCUCACAAAAUUGAUCUUAAGUUUCAUCUUCUUCGUCUUCGACUUCGUAGUUUCCAUCUCCGUCUCCUUCGUCCGCCAUCGAUUUCUAACCCUUUGUCACCGCCUCAAGGUAUGCCGAUGCGCUCUGAUUCUUUUGUCUUGAAUGUGAUUGGAUGAUAAUGAUUGUUUUGUGUUGAAAUUGUGAUAUAUGAGGAAUGUAAUGUGUUGUAGUUUGCUGCGAGAGUUGUAUUCUGUGCAUUGUGUGUUGUGCUAAGCACUACUUGUAUUAGAUUUUCAGCAUAUAGAUGGUGGUCCUUUCUCUACGUAGCCUCCUCUGGUUAGAUUUCUUAGCCUAUUAGUGGAAUUGUGCAAGUCUGUUGCGUAGUAAGCAUAUUGGGCACUAUUUGUUGUAUCGACAGGGUACUGAACAAGGUUCCCAUCAUUUUGCAUUUUGAGGCAGAAAAUCCCGAAUAAAUCAUCUGCUUCUGAGGCACUCGAGAAAAACUCUUGUCCAGCUGAUAUAUGCUUAUAUAGUGACGGAAUAUUGUUCAUCGCUAAUAUCCGUCGCUAAACACUAUUUUUUUAGUAGUGAAAGUUUUUCGUGUCCAGCACGGAAGCUCAAGCAAUGGCUCGAGAUGGAUUGAUGACAGAGAUUUCCUGGCUACCUACUUGCAUAAUGAGCCUUCCAUCACUAGUUAAGAGUAGGACAACGUUGCUUGGGACAAUAUGAGUGUUCUUGUUUGAAGUCCAUACUGUUGUUUUCUUAGGCAUACCAACAAUUGAACUUCCAACAGCAUAGCCAUUGGUUUGUUUGUAGUAUCCAAAGGCAAUUGGAUCAGUAAUAGUAUGUUUGGAUGAACCAUACAGAAUAACACUCCAAAGUUAAAAAUUUUUUAUAAUUAAUUAUUAUCAACUUGUUAGAAGAGAUCGGAUAGGACACUUUUGUUUCAGUAAUAUCCUAAGUUGAGCCUUUUGGCACUCCAACUUUGUAUCCCAAUGUCUGCUUUUGGAACUAAUAGCUCUGACAACCUUUGGGAAUUUGACAAAUCCUUUGAUCCCUCGUUUGAUGUGUGGAUUUUCAGCUUCUUGUGAAUGGUUUCUUCGAUGAAUCAUCACUUGGUACCGAAAAUUAGAAGCAUUGUUUCCCUCACUAAUAGAUUUGUGAUCACGCCUUGUUUCUGUUUCAUCAUCACAUGAAGCUGAUGAAGUGUUAUAGCUGUUGUUGUUGUUCUCUUGAAUCUUGGCUUCAAUUUUCGCAUUGGAUUGCUCUGUUUGUAACAUUUUCUUGGUUGCUUCCAAUAAAUAUUUAGCCUCUGUUAGCUUAAUUUGAUUGGUAAGCUUAGACAUAUCUCUAUUGGUAAGCUUAGACAUGGCUAACAGAAGCUUAAACACCUUAUCUAGAACUGCCAUGUUGAUUAUUUUGUCUUUCAUGCUAAAUUUUCUUUUUUUGUUAUUGUAGAAAAGUAAGACAUUUCUUGAACAAUCAUGGAGAAUUCUAGGAAUAGAAGAUGGAUGGAUUACAGUAGAGUCAGUAAAGAGUAUUUAGAUGGAGUAGAAAAUUUUCUAAACCAUGCGUUUCGUGAAAAUCAUAAUGGAG
This 1585-nucleotide long non-coding RNA is filed under the name Solanum tuberosum (potato). Its description in RNAcentral is "long non-coding RNA (STUB_LNC011211)". Lineage: Eukaryota; Viridiplantae; Streptophyta; Magnoliopsida; Solanales; Solanaceae. The record is from RNAcentral.